RNAcentral lists this transfer RNA (76 nucleotides) under Klebsiella pneumoniae. Its description in RNAcentral is "tRNA-Phe". It matches the Rfam family "tRNA". From Rfam's summary of the family: Transfer RNA (tRNA) molecules are approximately 80 nucleotides in length. Lineage: Bacteria; Pseudomonadati; Pseudomonadota; Gammaproteobacteria; Enterobacterales; Enterobacteriaceae. The record is from RNAcentral.
GCCCGGAUAGCUCAGUCGGUAGAGCAGGGGAUUGAAAAUCCCCAUGUCCUUGGUUCGAUUCCGAGUCCGGGCACCA